RNAcentral lists this ribosomal RNA (438 nucleotides) under uncultured bacterium. RNAcentral describes it as "bacterial SSU rRNA". It matches the Rfam family "Bacterial small subunit ribosomal RNA", at positions 42 to 507 of the family's 1533-position model. The record is from RNAcentral.
GAGUUUAUCUUAAACACUUGUUACAUGGCACCUGAUACUUUAUUACAUUUCUAGUGGCGGACGGGUGAGUAACACGUUGGAACCUGCCCCAAAGUGAGGAAUAAGCCACCGAAAGGUGGUCUAAUACUUCAUAAUAUCCAUCUCGUAUGGAUUAAAGCUUUAUGCGCUUUGGGAGGGGCCUGCGUAACAUUAGCUUGUUGGUGAGGUAAAAAGCUCACCAAGGCUUCGAUGUUUAACUGGUUUGAGAGGAUGACCAGUCACACUGGGACUGAGAUACGGCCCAGACUCCUACGGGAGGCAGCAGUAAGGAAUCUUCCACAAUGGGGCAACCCUGAUGGAGCAAUACCGCGUGCAGGAUGAAGCGUUUCGGCGUGUAAACUGCUUUUAUCACCGAAGAUUGUGACUGUAGGUGAAGAAUAAGGACCGGCUAACUACGUG